Molecule: long non-coding RNA, 1597 nt
Organism: Coturnix japonica (Japanese quail)
Lineage: Eukaryota; Metazoa; Chordata; Aves; Galliformes; Phasianidae
Source: Ensembl
UAGUUUUAGAGCAAUGGUGUGAGCUCCAGGAGGGUCCCAGUGCCGAAUGUUGGGGGUCAGGUUUGCACUGGUGCUGGUAAUGCUUCCUUAAAAGAUAAGGUAAAAACCCAAAUGAAAUACAGGAGGCAAAGUUCUCACCACGCCACAUAAAUCAGGAAGUGGAGGUUUAAAUAUUGCACAAAAUGUCCUGAAACUCGCAGUCAGGUUAGCAGAGAAUUGGAGGAAAGUAAAGUACUGGUGGUGCCAUCAUCCCCUGGGGUACUUUAUGACCUGAGGUGGUUUGCAGGGACACUGCAUCCAAAACCAAACAGCACCUGAUGUACAAAGGGCAGGCAGGCAGAGGGGAGAUGCUAUUUACAUUAUGGAUGAGGAGCAGAACCACUGAGUGACUUGCUUUAAACCACAGGCAGUGCACGAGCAGAAACAGGGGUUGGAUUCAGGCCUCACAGACUUUCAUUGCAGAUGAUUGGUGCCGAGCUGCCUUCUUUCUGCUCCGUGCCAGAGGACAGCACAGAGCAGCCACCCGGAGGUCACAGCCUGCAGAGCGCCAGGACAUAACGCACAGAAAUAGAUCCCUGUUACAAAAUGUCGCGGGAUGUUUUUCACAUUAUCACCUUUCAGAGCAAAAGAUGCAAAGAAGAAACCUCUGCUCAUCCCCAUCCUAGAUGUACUAAUUGCCUCUGAGACAACUUCGCCAAGAGAGAAAAAGACAGACGCCGCAAAGCAGAGUUCUCACAGCUGUGUGAUGCCAGAAACUGUUCCAUGUGAUGAACCUCAGCCUUAUAUACAUUCAGCUCAGAAUGAAGUGUGGCUUAAAUGUGAAGUGUCCAUCAUGCAGAUGGGGACCUGAAACAGAGGCUGGACUUUCCCUUCAUGUUCUGGCUGUUCCCUUAACCUGAGUGCAAUGCAGAGAGCUUCAGCUGAGCAGAGCGACUCUUCGGAAAUGGUAUGGAAGCUAUUAAAGUUUAAAAUGCAAUCAUGUGCAUGAAAGAGAGGUCAUUCCUUCACACUGCUUGGAGUCCAAGCGAAAGGAGGAAAAGGGGAAGUGCCUCAGCUGUUUAGAACAGGGCAAUGGAAAAGAAAUAGAAAUCAGAAAGGAGGGAGUGAUGGAGGGGAGCAGCUCUGGAAAGGCAGCAUGCAACACAGAUUCAUGCAAGGAGGAGGUGAAAGAGGUUGCCAUUCUGCACCCCCAGCUCACAGCCUGCACCCAUGGGUGCUGGGGAAGAAGUGUGAGCUGCGCCUCCCAGCAGCACAGAGAUCCACAGGUAGAUUUCAUAAAACACUUCACUCUCAACCCAGGACUCUGUCAAGCUCCCAUGUUGGUUGAGACUUGUAGAAGCAAUAAUUUAUAAAUUACAAACGGUAGCAAAGCAACAGCUGUUUCAGCAUCUGUCAUUGCCUGUGACAGAAAUACAUGCAAAGCCCUGGGAACCUCAAGGUGUCAACCCAAGCAACCUGCUGCUACAGGCUUCCAUCAAUCAGAGUGACCGGCGCACGGCCACGGCUCCGAGUGGCAGCAAACAAAUGCUUCCAGCAUGCUGCUCUCUGCCUGCUCUGGUGACUAACAGCUCAGGGGAAAAGAAGUUGGUGAGCAAUU